RNAcentral lists this long non-coding RNA (227 nucleotides) under Lathyrus oleraceus (garden pea). RNAcentral's name for it is "Pisum sativum (pea) long non-coding RNA (PSAT_LNC009471)". Lineage: Eukaryota; Viridiplantae; Streptophyta; Magnoliopsida; Fabales; Fabaceae. The record is from RNAcentral.
AAUAAGUUACCACUGCAAUAAAAUAGUAACAAGUACAACAAGGUUUCACAUGCCCACAACAAGAUAAAAGUACAGAAAAAUAUAGCAUUGCAUAUUCACUAAAGUGGAAAAACAUGAACCAAACUCCAUUGAUUCCUCUGCACUAUGCCACUUUCAUCAACAAUAUCAGUUCAAAAAAUCCUAAUUCAACCCAUAUAAAAUCAAUGGUAUGCAAAAACAGGGAGGAG